Molecule: ribosomal RNA, 253 nt
Filed under: uncultured bacterium
Lineage: Bacteria
Description: partial 16S ribosomal RNA
Rfam family: Bacterial small subunit ribosomal RNA
Source: RNAcentral
UACAGAGGUCCCGAGCGUUGUUCGGAUUCACUGGGCGUAAAGGGCGCGUAGGUGGCAUGGUAAGUUUGAUGUGAAAGCUCAGGGCUCAACCCUGAAAUGGCAUUGAAUACUACUGUGCUGGAGGUUUGGAGGGGGGACUGGAAUUCUUGGUGUAGCAGUGAAAUGCGUAGAUAUCAAGAGGAACACCAGUGGCGAAGGCGAGUCCCUGGACAACACCUGACACUGAGGCACGAAAGCUAGGGGAGCAAACAGG